UACCUGGUUGAUCCUGCCAGUAGUCAUAUGCUUGUCUCAAAGAUUAAGCCAUGCAAGUCUAAGUACGAGCUCUCGUACAGUGAAACUGCGAAUGGCUCAUUAAAUCAGUUAUGGUUCAUUUGAUCGUACAGUUUACUUGGAUAACUGUGGUAAUUCUAGAGCUAAUACAUGCGAGAAGCGCCGACCUCGCGGGAGGCGUGCAUUUAUCAGACCAAAAACCGGCCGCGUCUUCGGGCGCGUUCGCCUUGGUGACUCUGGAUAACUUUGCGGAUCGCACGGUCUAGCACCGGCGACGGAUCAUUCAAGUGUCUGCCCUAUCAACUUUCGUCGGUACGGUAUUUGCCUACCGAGGUUCUUACGGGUGACGGGGUAAUCAGGGUUCGAUUCCGGAGAGGGAGCCUGAGAAACGGCUACCACAUCCAAGGAAGGCAGCAGGCGCGCAAAUUACCCAUUCCCGACGCGGGGAGGUAGUGACGAAAAAUAACAAUGCAGGACUCGUUCGAGGCCCUGUAAUUGGAAUGAGUACACUUUAAAAGCUUUAACGAGUAUCCAUUGGAGGGCAAGUCUGGUGCCAGCAGCCGCGGUAAUUCCAGCUCCAAAAGUAUAUAUUUAAGUUGUUGCGGUUAAAAAGCUCGUAGUUGGAUUUUGGGCGCAGGCGGCCGGUCCGUCGCAAGGCGUGUACUGGACGUCCUGGCCUUCCCUCCGGUUCUCCGCCGGUGCUCUUGACUGAGUGUCGGCGGCGGCCGGAACGUUUACUUUGAAAAAAUUAGAGUGUUCAAAGCAGGCUCUCGAGCCUGGAUAAUGGUGCAUGGAAUAAUGGAAUAGGACCUCGGUUCUAUUUUGUUGGUUUUCGGAGCGCGAGGUAAUGAUUAAGAGGGACAGACGGGGGCAUUCGUACUGUGCCGUUAGAGGUGAAAUUCUUGGAUCGGCGCAAGACGAACGACUGCGAAAGCAUUUGCCAAGAAUGUUUUCUUUAAUCAAGAGCGAAAGUCAGAGGUUCGAAGACGAUCAGAUACCCGUCCUAGUUCUGACUAUAAACGAUGCCAA
Molecule: non-coding RNA, 1047 nt
Organism: Ciona savignyi (Pacific transparent sea squirt)
Lineage: Eukaryota; Metazoa; Chordata; Ascidiacea; Phlebobranchia; Cionidae
Source: Rfam